This 774-nucleotide long non-coding RNA is filed under the name Glycine max (soybean). RNAcentral's name for it is "long non-coding RNA (GMAX_LNC000201)". The record is from RNAcentral. Lineage: Eukaryota; Viridiplantae; Streptophyta; Magnoliopsida; Fabales; Fabaceae.
UUUAAUAUAUGAUGAUACUAUCGUAACAAAUCCUCCAACUCCAAGAGAAACCGUUCAUCCACCACCAGCAUCACGUUGGUUCUUCAAUUUUUGAUUCCCAUUUGUUUUCCUUUUAUCACAUUUAAUUUUUGUUCUGAUAUUUAUCUUUUAUAUUUUUUAUUGCAUUUUUCUUCUUGUAUGUUUUUCCAGAUCUGGAUUUGUUUUCGGAUCUGCACCGGUGACACCUACUGCAGCCGCACUCAAGACUUCUCCUCCUUCGCCCCCAACCAUGCCUUUCGCACUCUGACCUUACUUUCCGGUUUCCUCUCUCCCACAUCACCGCCGCCACCACCAGCCCCUUUUUCCCCUUUCUUCACCGACAACAAAAACAAAUAGACAACCCCAAACACAACGCACACCCAACAAAAUACAAAAGAAGAGGUCGCAAACGUUCACAAUUCCCUUAAUCUCAAAUCUAGAAACUCAUGCACACGAAACCAAAGUGGAGGGGCACGACAGUCGGUUAGACUCUAGAUUCAGCGGCGAUGAUGACCGUAACGACGGUAUUCACAGUCUCUACUAUGUUGUUGUGCCUUCCCUAUGAUGAAUGAGGGAGCUUUGGUGCCGGGAAUAAAUGGUGGUGAGACAUUGGAGGAAGUUAAACGGGUUUCAGAUUACAGUAGGAAAAAUUGGAUAAAAGAAAGGACUUUUGUCUUUUCAAUUUGAGAGAAUAAAAAUGGUUGAAUCAUGGAUGCCAAUGCAAACCGAGAUUCAAAUCAUUAAAAACAUGAGCCG